GGCCUGGCUAAGCGGUCUGCCGUCUGGUAUGUACUGCUCGGCUGGGUCUUUCCUUCUGGAGAGCCAGUAUGCUCUUUACUGAGUGUGCUGGGGAUCCAGGACCAUUUACCUUGAAAAAAUUAGAGUGUUUAAAGCAGGCAUUUGCUUGAAUAGAUUAGCAUGGAAUAAUAGAAUAGGACU
RNAcentral lists this ribosomal RNA (180 nucleotides) under uncultured Glomeromycotina. RNAcentral describes it as "partial small subunit ribosomal RNA". The stretch from base 47 to 180 matches the Rfam family "Eukaryotic small subunit ribosomal RNA", at positions 693 to 829 of the family's 1831-position model. Lineage: Eukaryota; Fungi; Glomeromycota. The record is from RNAcentral.